GGCCAGACUCCUACGGGAGGCAGCAGUGGGGGAUAUUGCACAAUGGGGGAAACCCUGAUGCAGCGACGCCGCGUGAGUGAAGAAGUAUUUCGGUAUGUAAAGCUCUAUCAGCAGGGAAGAAGAUGACAGUACCUGAGUAAGAAGCCCCGGCUAACUACGUGCCAGCAGCCGCGGUAAUACGGAGGAUGCGAGCGUUAUCCGGAUUUAUUGGGUUUAAAGGGUGCGUAGGCGGACUGGAAAGUCAGCGGUAAAAUCGAGAGGCUCAACCUCUUUCCGCCGUUGAAACUGUCGGUCUUGAGUGGGCGAGAAGUAUGCGGAAUGCGUGGUGUAGCGGUGAAAUGCAUAGAUAUCACGCAGAACUCCGAUUGCGAAGGCAGCAUACCGGCGCCCGACUGACGCUGAGGCACGAAAGCGUGGGUAUCGAACAGGAUUAGAUACCCCUGUA
RNAcentral lists this ribosomal RNA (445 nucleotides) under uncultured bacterium. Its description in RNAcentral is "bacterial SSU rRNA". It matches the Rfam family "Bacterial small subunit ribosomal RNA", at positions 329 to 792 of the family's 1533-position model. The record is from RNAcentral.